This is a long non-coding RNA of Arachis stenosperma, 1823 nucleotides long. RefSeq lists it as uncharacterized. The record is from RefSeq and is a predicted model, not a curated record. The transcript is spliced from 7 exons. Lineage: Eukaryota; Viridiplantae; Streptophyta; Magnoliopsida; Fabales; Fabaceae.
AAUACAAGAGAGCUGCGAUUCACUGACCUCCUUGUCGUUGGAUGUCUUUCCCAAUCUCAAGAAUUUGAAGAUAGAAGGGUGUAGGAAUCUGGAAUCAGUGUCAAUGUCAGAGGCACCACACACUGCUCUUCAACGUCUCAAAAUAAUUGAGUGCUCCAAAUUAGUGUCAUUUGCAGGAGAAGGACUGGCUGCACCCAACUUGACUCAUCUCGAGAUAUCAGGGUGUAGGAAUCUGGAAUCAGUGUCAAUGUCAGAGGCAUUACCAUUCAUGGAGGGUGCUGGAAGUUGGAGGCAUUACCACGUGACAUGAAGAGUCUACUCCCAAGUUUGCAGUCUCUCCAGAUAUAUGGUUGCCCAAACAUUUGCAGGUUGGCAGAGGGUGGUUUGCCGCCUAACUUGAAAUCACUUGAAGUGGGAUUAAGGGAUCUUUCAUGGAUGUCCAACUUGGACGCCCUCACUCAUCUUACCAUUCAUGCUUAUGACUGCAACAACAUAAAGUCAUACCCAGAGGUGGGUUCGCUGCCUCACCUUCCCUCCCUUACCACUCUCAACAUAAGUUUCUUCCAUAAUCUGGAGACAUUGGAGUGCAACGAGCUUCUCCGCCUCACCUCCCUUCAACAACUAAACAUUUAUUGGUGUCGAAAGCUGGAGAAUAUGGAAGGAGAAAAGCUGCCUCCCUCUCUCUUGCUACUUCAAAUUGAUCAUUGUGGUUUGCUGGGAAAACACUGCAAGAACAAGCAUCAAACUAAUCUGGCCCAAAAUUUCCCAUAUCCCUGACAUUAACGUCUUCUAAACAGGGAUUUCUAACAGUUUUCCCAAGGUGAACUCGAUAUAGCUAAUGUCAUUAGAAGGUCAAGUUGCGAUGAAGCCAUCAGACAACAAUUUCAUCUCUAUCAACUUCACAUAUUGUGUGUCAGGAGAAAGCCUCUGAGCUCUGCAUGAGAUACAUUGAGGAAUAAGCAGCAAUACAGAAACAUGGGAAUACCCUUGCUGUCACUUGAGCAGAGAAGGUCAAAUAUUCUGAAACCGAAACAGUGUCAAUUGCAGAUAUGAAGAGGCUUGAUUGAGUUGGAGAAUAUGGCAGGAGAAAAGCUUCCUUUCUCUCUGUUACUGUUUCAAAUUCAACACUGUCCUUUGCCCGGCAAACGCUACAAGAAGAGUCACAGCUAAACUCUUCAUGAGGGGCAUCAAGGGAUAGAUAACUGCUAUGCUGGAGGAUUUGCUUUCUUUCUGGUUUCAACCAUUAAAAUGCGCACUAGGCAGCUUCUGUGGCAAUUGCAACUUGGUGAGCAUGAAAUUCCUACUGAGGCUGAACACAGAUGGUUGAGAUUUCAUGGAAUCAUGGUAUUUGUGAAUAUAUGGAGAUGUAAUCUUAUACAGUGGCAAUCAUAUCAAAACUGUUUUCUUUCAAUUCAAGGUUCACUUGAGGUGGUAAAAUGGAGUCCAUUGAUAUGUUGGGAACCAGAAGUGUUUUCUGAUUUUAGCUUCAGUAUAUAGGAAAACUCUCUACAAAAAGGGAAGAGUAGACCAGCAAGCAAAUCAGAGAAAGAGAAUCAAAUUCUUCAUCAUUUAGUCUUGUCUCGAUACAACUGCAAAGUUUUUCUCUUUUUCACUUGUGUCACUUUGUUUAUCAUUCUCUUUCUGCAAUUCUUUUAAACAGAGAGUGAGUUAUCCUAGGCUAGAUAAAGAGACUUGUUCUGUUGUCCUUAGGUUGUGCUGUUUAAGAAGUUUGUGUUUCUGUGAGAAAUUGUUUGUAAUAAACAUUGAUAUAGUGAAAAAUCUCUCUUUGGUUGUGGAUUGGAUGUAGACUCAUGUUGGAGUUG